This is a long non-coding RNA of Suricata suricatta (meerkat), 876 nucleotides long. RefSeq lists it as uncharacterized. Lineage: Eukaryota; Metazoa; Chordata; Mammalia; Carnivora; Herpestidae. The transcript has 5 exons. The record is from RefSeq and is a predicted model, not a curated record.
ACCUGAGAUGUACCUGACCAUCAAUUCUGACGGAGCUGGGAGGUGUCCCUGACUCACCAGCUGUGUCUUCAGUGACGGACCUUCAUUCCCCAAGUGCGUCUGCCCGAAACUUCUGUGGUCUCUGACGGGUCCUAGAUGCCUCCUCUCCGACUGGGAGCGUCUACUUUGGCCUCCCGUCCACACGAAGCCCCGGCGGUGUGGGCCUGCGCAGGAGCCUCGCGUGUCCCAGGUCCCCCAGCCGGGGCCGUCUCCUCCGCUCUCGGAAGUCGCCCUCUGCCCCCAGGGUCUCCCUGUUCCCCAGAUGUGUCCACACAGGCAUGCGACGGCCCCUUAAAUCUCGUCUGUUUCGGUGUGGAAUCUGUACACGAACCUUGGAUGUCCCCUUAGUUCCCAGAUGUCCCCCCGAUUCCCCAGGGGAAGAUACACGACUGAGAAUGCCACCUUGAUGCCUCCAGGAUUUCUGGACUAACCUGAGAAACCUGUGUCCCCAGGUGUGUGGGCUCUUACCUUAGAGGUUCAUUCUCCAGCUCCACCUGCUCUGGUCAGGAAACUCUCCCCAUGCGCCCUGCUGUACGUCGCUGAGCCUGGGCAUCUCCUUAAUAAUCAGUAAACACAAAUCAUUUCUCCACGUGAACUGAACAAUAAAAACUACAGACGAGAAUUUCCGGAAGAACCUAACAGGACCCCGGCUCACCAUCUGCAGACAUCCAAAGGAGAAGGGUCACGUGACAACCCAGUGUGCGGUAAACAGUCGGCGCUCUCCGCUCAACAGAAAGGGACUGGUUUUUGUGUGAAUGUUUUUCUUUACGAGAGAGGGUGAGCAGGGGAUGCAGAGAGAGAAAAACACAGGAUCUAAAGCGGGCUCCACGCUGAGAG